Molecule: long non-coding RNA, 404 nt
Filed under: Equus asinus (donkey)
Lineage: Eukaryota; Metazoa; Chordata; Mammalia; Perissodactyla; Equidae
Description: lncRNA (ENSEASG00005036389.1)
Source: RNAcentral
AGGCGGUCGGAGGCAGCUCUGCCAUGAACAGUAGCAUCCAUCCUCCUGGCUACAUGCCCAGAAGGCCCGAGACAGACCAAAGAAUCCCUAAGGUUUCUAGAACUCCACGCAGGAGAUCUUUGAAGAGCUACAUGAUGGGUUCGACUUCUCUCCCUCCCUAGUCAAGGGGCAGGAGCAGCAGGCCGCCAGCAGCAUCCUGUGCUGGUCUGAGAACUCCACUCAGGAGAUGUUUGAAGAGUUAUGUGUUGGGUUCGACUUCUCUCCCUCCCUAGUCAAGGGGCAGGAGCAGCAGGCCACCAGCAGCAUCCUGUGCCGGUCUGAGGUGAGAGCAGGAGCAGAAGGUCUUUACCCCCACCCCCCCCAAGAUGUUCAGCGUGGGCCUGGAACCCAGGUCUGAAUCUGAG